ACACAACUCUGGAGAGUCCCUUAAAUGGGCGCCGAAGGUGCACGAACGUCGUUGAUGUUUCUUAUCUCUCAGGCCAAUGGACAGAGCA
Molecule: non-coding RNA, 88 nt
Filed under: uncultured Phascolarctobacterium sp.
Lineage: Bacteria; Bacillati; Bacillota; Negativicutes; Acidaminococcales; Acidaminococcaceae
Description: Glycine riboswitch
Rfam family: Glycine riboswitch aptamer
About the family: This family represents the bacterial glycine riboswitch. Glycine riboswitches usually consist of two metabolite-binding aptamers domains with similar structures in tandem.
Source: RNAcentral